ACCUUGGCUAUCCACUGAUCCAAAUCCAUAUCUCUGUUGGUAGAUUACUUUUCAGUUUUCUGAAUUUGGAUUUGGAUUAGGAUUUUCACUCACUCGUUUCUUUUCUCCUCAGAUGUUAAACCCAACAAUGAUGAAACGAAACCUGGAGCGAGAAAGAGGAGAUGAAAGCAACCUUUGAUUUUUAUUUUCCGUAUUAUAUUUCUUUAUUUGAAAUGCAAAACUUGAACAGAUCAG
Molecule: unclassified non-coding RNA, 234 nt
Filed under: Hevea brasiliensis (rubber tree)
Lineage: Eukaryota; Viridiplantae; Streptophyta; Magnoliopsida; Malpighiales; Euphorbiaceae
Source: RNAcentral